This 71-nucleotide transfer RNA is filed under the name Winogradskyella sp. PG-2. It matches the Rfam family "tRNA". Rfam says of the family: Transfer RNA (tRNA) molecules are approximately 80 nucleotides in length. The record is from Rfam by way of RNAcentral. Lineage: Bacteria; Pseudomonadati; Bacteroidota; Flavobacteriia; Flavobacteriales; Flavobacteriaceae.
GUGGUUUUAGCUUAUUUGGUAAAGCACCUAACUGUGAAUGAGGAGAACAGAGUUCGAAUCUCGGAAUCACC